UCCUAGAUUCUACAAGGGGGUUGCUCCUCUCUGGAUGAGACAGAUAUCAUACACCAUGAUGAAGUUCGCCUUCUUUGAAUGUACUGUUGAAGCAUUGUACAAGUUUGUGGUUCCCAAGCCCCGAAGUGAAUGUUCAAAGCCAGAGCAGCUGGUUGUCACAUUUGUGGCAGGUUACAUAGCUGGAGUCUUCUGUGCCAUUGUUUCUCAUCCUGCUGAUUCUGUGGUGUCUGUGUUGAAUAAAGAGAAGGGUAACAGUGCUUCUCAGGUCCUCAAGAGACUUGGAUUUAGAGGUGUGUGGAAGGGACUCUUUGCCUGUAUCAUCAUGAUUGGCACUCUGACUGCACUACAGUGGUUCAUCUAUGACUCUGUGAAGGUCAACUUCAGGCUUCCUUGCCUUCCUCCACCUGAGAUGCCAGAAUCUCUGAAGAAGAAGCUUGGGUUAACUCAGUAGAUAGAUGGAAGCAAAUGUGGACUGAGUCUGCUUAUUGAUCAGUGUUGAGGAAAAUGAAAAAGGAACUUUAAUACAUUUGACAGUGUAGGAAGUUGUCUGUUCUGAUAUAAUUACUGUAGUUCUCUUGCCAAAGGCAGGAGUUUCAAACUUACUGUUGAAAUAAACCCCACUGUCAUGAA
Non-coding RNA from Vicugna pacos (alpaca), 630 nucleotides. Lineage: Eukaryota; Metazoa; Chordata; Mammalia; Artiodactyla; Camelidae. The record is from RefSeq and is a predicted model, not a curated record.